RNAcentral lists this ribosomal RNA (253 nucleotides) under uncultured bacterium. Its description in RNAcentral is "partial 16S ribosomal RNA". It matches the Rfam family "Bacterial small subunit ribosomal RNA", at positions 524 to 776 of the family's 1533-position model. The record is from RNAcentral.
UACAGAGACUGCAAGCGUUAUUCGGAUUCACUGGGCGUAAAGGGUGCGCAGUCGACCAAGUGUGUCAGAUGUGAAAUCCCGAGGCUCAACCUCGGAACUGCGUCUGAAACUACUUGGCUAGAGUACUGGAGAGGGUGGUGGAAUUCCUCGUGUAGCGGUGAAAUGCGUAGAGAUGAGGAGGAACACCAGUGGCGAAGGCGGCCACCUGGACAGUAACUGACGCUGAGGCGCGAAAGCGUGGGUAGCAAACAGG